RNAcentral lists this ribosomal RNA (253 nucleotides) under uncultured bacterium. RNAcentral describes it as "partial 16S ribosomal RNA". It matches the Rfam family "Bacterial small subunit ribosomal RNA", at positions 524 to 776 of the family's 1533-position model. The record is from RNAcentral.
UACGUAGGGUGCGAGCGUUGUCCGGAAUUAUUGGGCGUAAAGAGCUCGUAGGCGGUCUGUCACGUCGGCUGUGAAAUCCCGAGGCUCAACCUCGGGUCUGCAGUCGAUACGGGCAAACUAGAGUAUUGCAGGGGAGACUGGAAUUCCUGGUGUAGCGGUGAAAUGCGCAGAUAUCAGGAGGGACACCGGUGGCGAAGGCGGGUCUCUGGGCCGUAACUGACGCUGAGGAGCGAAAGCAUGGGGAGCGAACAGG